This 521-nucleotide ribosomal RNA is filed under the name uncultured Glomeromycotina. RNAcentral's name for it is "SSU rRNA". It matches the Rfam family "Eukaryotic small subunit ribosomal RNA", at positions 569 to 1092 of the family's 1831-position model. The record is from RNAcentral. Lineage: Eukaryota; Fungi; Glomeromycota.
AGCAGCCGCGGUAAUUCCAGCUCCAAUAGCGUAUAUUAAAGUUGUUGCAGUUAAAAAGCUCGUAGUUGAAUUUCGGGGUUAGUAGGUUGGUCAUGCCUCUGGUAUGUACUGGUCUCACUGAUUCCUCCUUCCUGAUGAGCCGUAAUGCCAUUAAUUUGGUGUUGCGGGGAAUUUGGACUGUUACUUUGAAAAAAUUAGAGUGUUUAAAGCAAGCUAACGCUUGAAUACAUUAGCAUGGAAUAAUGAAAUAGGACGUUCGAUCCUAUUUUGUUGGUUUCUAGGAUUGACGUAAUGAUUAAUAGGGAUAGUUGGGGCAUUAGUAUUCAAUUGUCAGAGGUGAAAUUCUUGGAUUUAUUGAAGACUAACUACUGCGAAAGCAUUUGCCAAGGAUGUUUUCAUUAAUCAAGAACGAAAGUUAGGGGAUCGAAGACGAUCAGAUACCGUCGUAGUCUUAACCAUAAACUAUGCCGACUAGGGAUCGGAUGAUGUUAAUUUUUUAAUGACUCAUUCGGCGCCUUACG